GACGAACGCUGGCGGCGUGCUUAACACAUGCAAGUCGAACGCUGAACCCGCUUCGGUGGGGGAUGAGUGGCGAACGGGUGAGUAACACGUGGGCAACCUGCCCCCGGCUCUGGGAUAACUCCAAGAAAUUGGGGCUAAUACCGGCUGUGACCGCUGGCCGCAUGGUCUGGUGGUGGAAAGGGUUUCCGGCUGGGGAUGGGCCCGCGGCCUAUCAGCUUGUUGGUGGGGUAGUGGCCUACCAAGGCGACGACGGGUAGCCGGCCUGAGAGGGUGACCGGCCACACUGGGACUGAGACACGGCCCAGACUCCUACGGGAGGCAGCAGUGGGGAAUAUUGCGCAAUGGGCGGAAGCCUGACGCAGCGACGCCGCGUGGGGGAUGACGGCCUUCGGGUUGUAAACCUCUUUCAGCAGGGACGAAGCGCAAGUGACGGUACCUGCAGAAGAAGCACCGGCCAACUACGUG
This 465-nucleotide ribosomal RNA is filed under the name uncultured bacterium. RNAcentral's name for it is "partial 16S ribosomal RNA". It matches the Rfam family "Bacterial small subunit ribosomal RNA", at positions 28 to 507 of the family's 1533-position model. The record is from RNAcentral.